RNAcentral lists this ribosomal RNA (468 nucleotides) under uncultured bacterium. RNAcentral's name for it is "partial 16S ribosomal RNA". It matches the Rfam family "Bacterial small subunit ribosomal RNA", at positions 28 to 507 of the family's 1533-position model. The record is from RNAcentral.
GACGAACGCUGGCGGCGUGCUUAACACAUGCAAGUCGAACGGAAAGGCCCUGCUUUUGUGGGGUGCUCGAGUGGCGAACGGGUGAGUAACACGUGAGUAACCUGCCCUUUACUUUGGGAUAACUUCAGGAAACUGGGGCUAAUACCGGAUAGGAGCUCCUGCUGCAUGGUGGGGGUUGGAAAGUUUCGGCGGUUGGGGAUGGACUCGCGGCUUAUCAGCUUGUUGGUGGGGUAGUGGCUUACCAAGGCUUUGACGGGUAGCCGGCCUGAGAGGGUGACCGGCGACAUUGGGACUGAGAGACGGCCCAGACGCCUACGGGAGGCAGCAGUGGGGAAUAUUGCACAAUGGGCGGAAGCCUGAUGCAGAAACGCCGCGUGCGGGAUGACGGCCUUCGGGGUGUAAACCGCUUUCGCCUGUGACGAAGCGUGAGUGACGGUAAUGGGUAAAGAAGCACCGGCUAACUACGUG